AACCCCCCUACCCAGGAAGGGUCACCUGGAGCAGGAGCCCAGAGCUGGACACAGCACUCCAGAUGUGGCCGAUGUGCCACUCUGUCACUGCCUCGGGGACACAGGACACCACUGGGGACAGGCUCUGACACAGACUCACAGCCCUGGACCCAGGCUGGCAAGGGGGCUGAGUCCCAGCUGAAGCACAAACUCACAGAAACACGUAGAACAGCAGCUUCCAGACUCUGGCAUCGUACGCAACUCCUUGCUUUGAACCCCAAACCUCUCCUACAGAUGCCAAGGCCAGCACAAACACAAGAGUCUGUACAACCUUUCCAACCACCAACAGCAGCACCAAGCAGCCUGCCACUGGGAACCACUGCCUCCAAAAUCCAU
Neopelma chrysocephalum (saffron-crested tyrant-manakin) is the source of this 375-nucleotide long non-coding RNA. RefSeq lists it as uncharacterized. Lineage: Eukaryota; Metazoa; Chordata; Aves; Passeriformes; Pipridae. The record is from RefSeq and is a predicted model, not a curated record. The transcript has 3 exons.